UGUGCGACCUACAUUUCAGGUGCUUUUUUCAACAAAAGCUCAAAAGGGAACCUCGUGUAAGUCGAGGACGGGCCCGCCGCUGUAACCGGGUACAGAUUUCACGUAUCGCCACUGGGACAUUGUCCUGGGAAGGUGUGGAAGAUGGACGAUCCGGGAGUCAGAAGACCUGCCUGAGAUGACGGUACCGG
RNAcentral lists this non-coding RNA (188 nucleotides) under Desulfobulbaceae bacterium. The record is from RNAcentral. Lineage: Bacteria; Pseudomonadati; Thermodesulfobacteriota; Desulfobulbia; Desulfobulbales; Desulfobulbaceae.